GAUGCUCUUCACGGCCUCCCAUGGCUUGAUAGCGCGACGCUGAAAUUUGCCUCACCAUCGUGCACACUCUCUCCUUAUUUACCGUGUUUCUCCGGUACUCACGCUCCCGGGCGCUAUUCUUCAGUGCCGGGGAAGCGCCUUCUUUCACACUGCUUCCUCCCCCUCCCCCCAAAGAAACCUCCGAUCACUCACGCUCACAUACACAUAUACACGCAGCUCACAGCUGACAUUCUCUCCCGUUGCUGCUGCUGCUGAACUAUAGAGGGCUUUCACGUGUUGCAUAGCAGACGUGCUUCAGCCAUCCAUCAAACUCCAUCCCCCUCCUUUCCCCCUCCACCACCAGUGCUGCUCAAACCACUAUAGGUCAUCGGCUCAACGCCUUCGCCUUUUCAUUAUAGUGUCUGCUGACUGUUUACCUUCUUCACGUCACUGAUCUCCAGCGCACCCUUAUCCCUCGUCUCGCCUCCUUGCUUUUGUCCCCUUUCCUCUUCGUGCUUCUGCUCUUAUCCCCGCCCCCUCUGUGCCCGAUGAUGUAUCGCCCCAACGUCUGUGUCUUUCUCUUCAAUGAGAAGAUGGAGUUCCUUGGAUGCCAGCGCAUGAAGACGGAUCAUUUCCAGUGUGUGCAGGGUGGCAUCGAGGCCUGUGACGUGGACAUCCGGCUGGCGGCCCUGAGAGAGGUGGAAGAAGAGAUCGGACUGAAGCCGCAGGACCUCAUUUUUGUCCAGGAGAUUCCGCCACCGAACGGGGACCCGAUGAAGUUCGCCUACACCCUCGCCUCCAACGCCAACCUGCGCCGCUUUGGCUACGUCGGUCAGAAACAACGUAUCCUGCUCUUCUUCACCCCGUCUGAAAACAUAUCGAAAGUGGUGCUCAUCCCUCCUCCGGAGCUGCACGCCUCGCAGGAGUUCCGGAAGGUGGAGUGGAUGCCGAUCGAGCAACUCAUCGCCAAGUCGCUGCCAGAGAAAGUGCACAUUUUCAAGGCCGUCGGGGAGGUGGCGCCGGGAAUCGCUCGCGCCUUCUUGAAGAAGAGGGGCCUUCUCGCUGAGCCUCAGGGGGCGGCCAAGUAUUAGUGCCGAAAAGGAAAUCAUAAAAGUGCAAGCGAGUGAAACAUGGGUGAGCCUGCCCCGUAUUGUAUCGCUUUGGGGUCUGGCGCAUCCUUCCCUCCCUCUCCCCCUCUCCCGCCCUUCCCCUCGAGCAGCACUCGUCCUCUCUCUCUUUGUGCACUCCCUGAGGCGAAAGGGAAAAAGCGCCCAUUCAAACGGAGCGUGAAAGGAGAACCAAGCCUUGCAGAGCAUCAGAUCUAGGAAGAAAUGAAGGCGAUACCCCCUCCCCCGUUUCUCAGCAUGCAUACGCUCCCCGCCCGCAUCGUCUUGCGCACCGGAACGUGGAAAAGGGCGGAGGAAGGGGCAUUGCCUUGUGGAGCGGAUGCGCUUACACCUGAGUGUGCUUGCGAAGCCUCUGGCAUGGCACCACUACACCUCCUUUAUUCAUUCUGACUGUGAGAGUGGGGGGGCGCUUGACUCUCUGGUAUCAGGAUGCAUCAAGGCACCGGGAAGACGGCAGCUACGGUCGCAUGGCGUCCUAGCUGGACAUCUUCUCAUUUUCUGAGCGCCCUCUUUGUUUCUUCCCCCACAUACCUCUUAUCUCCUCCACUUCUCGAUCUCGCUCUCGCCGUCUUGGAUCUCUUCCAAUGCAUGCUCACACGUUCGUAUUCGCCGCUUCCCAUACGUGCACACUCACACACUCGAACACAUAAUGGUACGCAUUCAUUCACGUACCUGCGUCACUGUAUGUGUGCCUUCGCCGUGUGUGUGCGUGGCCCAUCAUCUAUCACUGCCCCCUCCCGAACAG
This 1851-nucleotide unclassified non-coding RNA is filed under the name Leishmania donovani. RNAcentral's name for it is "gene:LdHU3.05.0120(CDS-product:Nudix_hydrolase_2_ putative)". The record is from RNAcentral. Lineage: Eukaryota; Euglenozoa; Kinetoplastea; Trypanosomatida; Trypanosomatidae.